GUAGGUGAACCUGCGGAAGGAUCAUUAAUGAGCAAGGGUCCUAACCGGCCCGACCUCCAACCCUUUGUCGUUUAACAAAAACCCUUGUUGCUUUGGCGGGUUCCAGUCCGCCUCACGGCGGGCGCCCGCCGGAGUGAAACCAAACUCUUGUAUCAAACAGUACGUCUGAGUAAAAUUGAUAAAUCAAUCAAAACUUUCAACAACGGAUCUCUUGGUUCUG
This 220-nucleotide unclassified non-coding RNA is filed under the name rhizosphere metagenome. RNAcentral's name for it is "partial ribosomal RNA internal transcribed spacer region". The record is from RNAcentral.